AGGGGUGUAGCUCAGUGGUAGAGCGGCUUGCCUACCAUGCAGGAGGCCCUAGGUUUGAUUUCCAGCACCACCA
This 73-nucleotide transfer RNA is filed under the name Ictidomys tridecemlineatus (thirteen-lined ground squirrel). RNAcentral's name for it is "Spermophilus tridecemlineatus (thirteen-lined ground squirrel) tRNA". It matches the Rfam family "tRNA". Rfam says of the family: Transfer RNA (tRNA) molecules are approximately 80 nucleotides in length. Their secondary structure includes four short double-helical elements and three loops (D, anti-codon, and T loops). Lineage: Eukaryota; Metazoa; Chordata; Mammalia; Rodentia; Sciuridae. The record is from Rfam by way of RNAcentral.